UACGUAGGGACCGAGCGUUGUCCGGAAUCAUUGGGCGUAAAGAGCGUGUAGGCGGCCUGUUAAGUCUUGCGUGAAAUCUCGGGGCUCAACCCCGAGCGGUCGUGAGAAACUGGCAGGCUAGAGUGCGGGAGAGGAGAGUGGAAUUCCUGGUGUAGCGGUGAAAUGCGCAGAUAUCAGGAAGAACACCCGUGGCGAAGGCGGCUCUCUGGAACGCAACUGACGCUGAGACG
This 230-nucleotide ribosomal RNA is filed under the name uncultured bacterium. Its description in RNAcentral is "partial 16S ribosomal RNA". It matches the Rfam family "Bacterial small subunit ribosomal RNA", at positions 524 to 753 of the family's 1533-position model. The record is from RNAcentral.